Molecule: long non-coding RNA, 3184 nt
Organism: Mya arenaria
Lineage: Eukaryota; Metazoa; Mollusca; Bivalvia; Myida; Myidae
Exons: 3
Source: RefSeq, a predicted model, not a curated record
GAUCAACUUGUUGUGGCCUUAUGUUACAUAUAUUUAUAGAACCAUGCUGCGUCUUACACUGUUUUUUGCUACUGAUGUUGUUGAAUAUUUAAAUAGUUUACCCCUGUUUUCCUAAAGUUCCGCCUACAAACUAUGAAGUUGCCAGCUACGUCAACCACUCGCCAUAUUUCUAUUUGGCUUUGCUAGUGAUACGCAUAUCCAUACAGAUUCUUGUGGAAAAGAUUUGGCAGAGAGAACAAAGAUUCACAAUUUGUGCAGCCUUUGUAAUUGAGGUCCUCUUUCUAGCCAUGUACAACGCGUUAGGAAUCAACUUUUGCAAUUUUCUAAGGACUUGUCCAUUUUAUUGCAUGCGGCUAUUGCAAGGUGUGUGGCAUCUCUACGUUGAAAGGUUUACAAUGAUACUGUAACACAAGUUACAACAUGGUAAAAUGGAACAUUGAAUGAGUGUUGGUUGUAUUUUGUGUUGACGCCCCCUUACGUCAGAAUAACCUGAACUUCCAACAAUUAUUUCAAAACAGUGACCUUGACAUCCUUUUGAAUUUGUCUAUUUUUGUGAAGAAGAAAAGUGGUGAGUUGAUUCCACCUUUAUUGGCAUCAUCUGUAAACCUGUUAUUGGUGUCGUUUUUAUAGCAAUCUCAUCUAUUAAUGUGCUUGUUUUUUAUAUUUUAUAUGAUUUUUUUCAUGAUUCAAGUUGACUCUGAUAUGUUUCCGAGUGAUAUUGUUUGAAGUGUAUUAUAUUUCUAAUGUAUCCAUUUUACUUUUUGUAUUUUUUAAUGAACAAUGAUGUCAUGAAACGUAUUGUAAUACUCAUGUUUUGUAUUGUUUUGUACUUUUUUAUAUCAAAAUUGAUGCCAUGAACGUAUUGUAAUACUCAUGUUACUUUCUUUUUUAUAUUGUUUUAUACCUUUUUAUUAAAAAAGAUGUCCAUAUCAGUCCAGUUCUUUAAUAAAACUGAAACUAUACUGAUCUUUAUAUAAGUUAGAUGUGCUUGACAAUGCCAUCUUCAUUCAAACGUUGAACAUGUAAAUAGAAAAAAAUGAAUAAAAACAAAUAAUACUAAAUAAAUAAAUAAAUAAAUAAAUAAAAUAAAUAAAUCAACAACGGCUACUGUGGUGAUUGAGGCAUACCUUUGAAUAAAAUAUAAUUUUGCAUAAUGUAAAUAUAAAUACUACCAUUUUCUUUCUAAACAAUUAAACAAUACAUGAUGAACUCUAUAUACACUAGGUACAGAUUACGCAAAAAGUCGCGUUUUUAUCACAUUUUCGUUCAUUACAUAAUCGUUUUGUCACACUCUGUACCAGUCUUCAUAUUUAAUUUACAUUUAGUAUUGUAAAUACAAACUAUUUUUAGGGUAAGAUAUGCAGCAACAUUGUUUAUUUUUCUAUAACAUUCCUGGAAAAUGGCAAAGCCUGUCAUUUUUUUACCUACUAAUCCAAGUUUAUAAUAAGUAUAUAUCAAAUCCUUCCAUGUUCCAGGUAUUGUAUAUAUGUUGUCAACUGUAUUUUUUCAUAAGAUAAUAGUUAUUAAACUAAACUUUGUUGAAAUUGAGUUGAAUAACACAGUUUUAUGAACACACACAGCCAGCCUGCUGUUACACGUUUGAACAGAAUUUUGUUAACUCAAGCCUAAAAUAAUUCAAUGUUCACUAGCAUCACUAACGCUUUUCGGAAAAACAUAGCAUUUGUCACAUUAAAAAAAAUCAUUGAUAACUGAGUUCUUUUUUGAAAUAAAAAGUGAUUGCAUUUUAUCGUAAUGAUUAUAAAAAGCGUUUUGUUCACAGUUAAUACGAUUUUGUUUCGCGAUCAGACAAUAAAACGUAUAGAUAACAAUCUUAACAUUCUUUACACUUUUAUACUGUCCUGUUGCUUAUUAGGUAAUGUACUUUGCAAAUGAGUAUUGGUGACAUGUAUCUAUAUUGAAUAAUUUGUCGAACUAGUAGUUCAAGUCAGUCUGUAGCUGGCAAUAAAUAAUGAUAUAUAUAUAUGGUUCUACGAUCAUCAGAAGAUUGAUAUCUAUUAUAGUUUUAUUGUUACAAGUUUUAUUACUAUGCUUAUUUUAAUUCUAUUACCAUUAAAUAUGUUCAAGGUUUUCGUACCAUUCCCAUUGAUGACGUACAAGAUAACAAGUAUGAAUCUAUAUAAUGCCCCCAAUACUACACUGUUUGUUUUUCAAAUUUGAAAGAUUAACCCUCAGUUCAAACAAUGUGAAAGUACCAAUCAUUCUUUUUAAUAAAUUAAUAAAAUUUAAUCUGAUAGAUACUGGUAAAGAAUUGGAGCAUGUUCAAAUGUAUUGGUCCACAGAGCCUUUGUUAUGUGUGCUUUUAACAUUUGUAUUAAGCUUUUUGUAUUACAACUUUCAUUUUUGAUUUGAUGAGUUUUUUUACAUUUCACAUGUAUUGAGAUCUGUCAUGUCAUAUAUUGCAUGGACCAGUAUUUGAAGUAAAAUUUAUCGUUUCCUUUCUUUUCUUGCUCAAGAUUUUCCGAAAUAUCAUCUCUGCCUUUACAUGACUUGUGGCUAAAUAUAAUUGGGAUUUUCGACUUUCGAGUCUCGAUAAUUUGUUUUUCUACACCAUACUAAUCCGUUAAAAUAGUUAUGAUUCUGUCGGUAGAUAGAAAACUUAAAGCUAAUAAGUGGAAUUCCGUUGUAAUUUUGAAACAUUUUACAAUUGCAUUAACAUUUAUCUAAUUGCAUAAAUAAAAGUCUGCAACGGCGUAGCUAGGCCUAAAUAAACUUGUAGGCCCGAUGGUUCUCUGUGAGUUUGGGAAUUUUUAUAUGUGCAUUAAACACACUUAAUCAUAUUUGCAAUGAUAAGAAUAAAAUCAGCAAUACACCAUGCACGUAAUUUAAAAACACACACACCAAACUUUGGUUAAAAUAAAACAAACUGUUGAGUUUUUCAAUGUGUUUAAGUAGUUAGUAGUGUUUAUUGCAUUUUGGGUUAUUUAAAAUUCGUCUUUUUUCAAAAAAGCUGAAGGCCUGUAUGUAGCUACGCCACUGGACUGGGUUUGCAUGAAGCCGUAACGUUUUGUGUUUUAUAGUAUAUGUUUGACACGUUUGUGAAUUAUGAAAGAUUUGCAUUAUGUUGCAUUUGGUUCAACAUUUUAUAUUUGUAUUUAUCCUUAUGGAAGAUAAUUAUGUUUCAUUUCAACCUGUUUUUAUUAUAUUCAUUAAUAUGCUAUGCUUG